This 375-nucleotide ribosomal RNA is filed under the name uncultured organism. Its description in RNAcentral is "partial 16S ribosomal RNA". It matches the Rfam family "Bacterial small subunit ribosomal RNA", at positions 527 to 896 of the family's 1533-position model. The record is from RNAcentral.
GAGGGUGGCAAGCGUUGUUCGGAAUCACUGGGCUUAAAGCGCGCGUAGGCGGAAAUUCAAGUGUCUUGUGAAAUCCCUCGGCUUAACCGAGGAAUUGCUUGGCAAACUGAAUUUCUUGAGGCAAGUAGGGGUACAUGGAACUCUUGGUGGAGCGGUGGAAUGCGUAGAUAUCAAGAGGAACGCCGAAGGUGAAGACAGUGUACUGGGCUUGUCCUGACGCUGAGGUGCGAAAGCGUGGGGAGCGAACGGGGGAUUAGAUACCCCGGUAGUCCACGCCGUAAACGAUGUCUACUAGGUUGUGGAGGUUCUGACACCCCUCACAGUCAAAGCAAAAGUGUUAAGUAGACCGCCUGGGGGAGUACGGUCGCAAGGCUA